GACGAGGGAUCCUAGCGUUGUUCGGAAUCAUUGGGCGUAAAGCGGGUGUAGGUGGCUUUUUAAGUCAGGUGUGAAAUCCUAGGGCUUAACCCUAGAAGUGCAUUUGAUACUAUUAAGCUUGAGUGUGGAAGAGGCUAUUAGAAUUCCUGGUGUAGUGGUGAAAUACGUAGAUAUCAGGAGGAAUACCGGUUGCGAAGGCGGAUAGCUGGUCCAACACUGACACUAAGACCCGAAAGCGUGGGGAUCAAACAGG
This 253-nucleotide ribosomal RNA is filed under the name uncultured Bdellovibrio sp. Its description in RNAcentral is "partial 16S ribosomal RNA". It matches the Rfam family "Bacterial small subunit ribosomal RNA", at positions 524 to 776 of the family's 1533-position model. The record is from RNAcentral. Lineage: Bacteria; Pseudomonadati; Bdellovibrionota; Bdellovibrionia; Bdellovibrionales; Pseudobdellovibrionaceae.